Lactuca sativa (garden lettuce) is the source of this 321-nucleotide non-coding RNA. The record is from RefSeq and is a predicted model, not a curated record. NCBI's taxonomy places the organism in Eukaryota, Viridiplantae, Streptophyta, Magnoliopsida, Asterales, Asteraceae.
ACAAGGUUUUGUGUUUUUACUAAUUUUGACAUUUGUGUUAUCUUCUUUGAAUUGUAGACAGUGGACAAUGAUCUUGCAUUAAAAAUUUACAUAAAAGCUAGAGCCACCCCUAAAGUUGUUGCAGCUUUUGCUGAAAGAAGGGAGUUUGAUAAAAUUCUGAUUUACUCCAAGCAGGUUGGGUAUUCACCUGAUUAUCUCUUCCUUCUGCAAAGAAUUCUUCGAUCAGAUCCUCAGGGUGCUGUAAAUUUUGCUUUAAUGAUGUCCCAAAUGGAAGGAGGUUGUCCUGUUGAUUACAACACCAUUACAGAUCUUUUCCUUCAG